This 608-nucleotide long non-coding RNA is filed under the name Monodelphis domestica (gray short-tailed opossum). RNAcentral's name for it is "lncRNA (ENSMODG00000033400.2)". The stretch from base 460 to 532 matches the Rfam family "tRNA". Lineage: Eukaryota; Metazoa; Chordata; Mammalia; Didelphimorphia; Didelphidae. The record is from RNAcentral.
UCUUGAUUUGCCUGUGAGUUCAAUUUAAAUGAGGCAGAGUUGUACAAAUCUGUCAGCCUCACUCUCUCUCCUAGAAUUGCUGAAGUCCAGUAGUAAUAACAAAAAGAAGAUGACUGGUGAUGGCUUGGGAUGCAGUGGAAGAUUGAAAAAUACUAUCUCAUUUUACAGAUGAGGACACUGAGGCAAACAGGAAGAAGUGAUUUGCCCAAGCUCACCCAGCUAAUACAUUGUCUGAGUCCAGAUUUGAACUCUUAAAUGUAAGUCUUCCUGAUUCCAGGUCCUUCCUUCUAUCCAUUAUGCCACCUUACUGCUUCCAAACAAGUGUAAAACCUAGAGGAAAAAGGAAGAAUAGGACUGAGAGGAAUAGUAAAAUAUAGACAUAAGUAAAGAAGAAAAAAUGAAAACUAAAGGAAAAGAGUUGCUGAGUAACAUAAAGUUCUUUCCAGUCUAGUAGAAGCUGCUUAAGUGGUGGUUUGGCUAGCAUACUAGACUCAAAUUCAGGAAGACGCAAGUUCAAAUUCUGCCUUAGACACCUACUUGCUGUAUGGCCUGACCUUAGACAAGUCAUGCUAUCUUUUUCAGCCUCAGUACCUUGUCUGCAAAAUGGG